GACGAACGCUGGCGGCGUGCCUAAUACAUGCAAGUCGAACGCACUCUCGUUUAGAUUGAAGGAGCUUGCUCCUGAUUGAUAAACAUUUGAGUGAGUGGCGGACGGGUGAGUAACACGUGGGUAACCUGCCCUAAAGUGGGGGAUAACAUUUGGAAACAGAUGCUAAUACCGCAUAAAACCUAAACACCGCAUGGUGUAGGGUUGGAAGAUGGUUUCGGCUAUCACUUUAGGAUGGACCCGCGGUGCAUUAGUUAGUUGGUGAGGUAAAGGCUCACCAAGACCGUGAUGCAUAGCCGACCUGAGAGGGUAAUCGGCCACACUGGGACUGAGACACGGCCCAGACUCCUACGGGAGGCAGCAGUAGGGAAUCUUCCACAAUGGACGAAAGUCUGAUGGAGCAACGCCGCGUGAGUGAAGAAGGUUUUCGGAUCGUAAAACUCUGUUGUUGGAGAAGAAUGUAUCUGAUAGUAACUGAUCAGGUAGUGACGGUAUCCAACCAGAAAG
This 504-nucleotide ribosomal RNA is filed under the name uncultured bacterium. RNAcentral's name for it is "bacterial SSU rRNA". It matches the Rfam family "Bacterial small subunit ribosomal RNA", at positions 28 to 490 of the family's 1533-position model. The record is from RNAcentral.